AAACAUAGACGUAAAACUACACCAAACUCCGCCCGGGGAUUACGAACAUAAGUUUAAAACCCAAAGGACUUGGCGGUGCUUAAUAUCCCCCUAGAGGAGCCUGUUCUAGAACCGAUAACCCCCGUUUAACCUCACCCUCCCUUGUUUAGACCGCCUAUAUACCACCGUCGUCAGCUUACCCUGUGAAGGUCUCAUAGUAAGCAAGAAUGGCACACCCCAAAACGUCAGGUCGAGGUGUAGUGUAUGGGAGGGGAAGAAAUGGGCUACAUUCACUACUUAUAGUGAAUCACGAAUGUCAUGUUGAAAUACAUAACUGAAGGAGGAUUUAGCAGUAAGCGGCAAACAGAGUGUCCC
RNAcentral lists this ribosomal RNA (354 nucleotides) under Oncopterus darwinii (Remo flounder). Its description in RNAcentral is "partial 12S ribosomal RNA". It matches the Rfam family "Bacterial small subunit ribosomal RNA", at positions 841 to 1360 of the family's 1533-position model. Lineage: Eukaryota; Metazoa; Chordata; Actinopteri; Pleuronectiformes; Rhombosoleidae. The record is from RNAcentral.